This 492-nucleotide ribosomal RNA is filed under the name uncultured bacterium. RNAcentral describes it as "partial 16S ribosomal RNA". It matches the Rfam family "Bacterial small subunit ribosomal RNA", at positions 29 to 507 of the family's 1533-position model. The record is from RNAcentral.
AGUGAACGCUGGCGGUAGGCCUAACACAUGCAAGUCGAACGGCAGCACAGUAAGAUCUUGCUCUUACGGGUGGCGAGUGGCGGACGGGUGAGGAAUACAUCGGAAUCUACUUUUUCGUGGGGGAUUACGUAGGGCAACUUACGCUAAUACCGCAUACGACCUACGGGUGAAAGCAGGGGAUCUUCGGACCUUUCGCGAUUGAAUGAGCCGAUGUCGGAUUAGCUAGUUGGCGAGGUAAAGGCCCACCAAGGCGACGAUGCGUAGCUGGUCUGAGAGGAUGAUCAGCCACACUGGAACUGAGACACGGUCCAGACUCCUACGGGAGGCAGCAGUGGGGAAUAUUGGGCAAUGGGCGCAAGCCUGAUCCAGCCAUACCGCGUGGGUGAGGAAGGCCUUCGGGUUGUAAAGCCCUUUUGUUGGGAAAGAAAAGCAGCAGGUUAAUACCCGGCUGUUCUGACGGUACCCAAAGAAUAAGCACCGGCUAACUUCGUG